AGGGAAAUGCAAGGUAAGAUCUGAUAUCUUGUCAGCUAAUGGUUCCCUGCUGUAAGGGGGAUCUCGCUCAAAAAACUCAAAUAGCAAGCAACCUUGGGAUUUCAUAGAUUCACCUUCAUCGCUAGAAAAGUCCUCUUGGUGGGCAAUAAGUUGAUCUCUCAAAGACAUUCUAUCCAUUCUAAGAGGAACAUCAUUUAGUAAAUGAUAAUGAUUCCAUUGUUCCCUUGAGCCCUUCAGUCCUCUUUCAGGUUCACUAUCAAAGCUACCAUCACUACUUGAAUCCCUGAAAUCACUGUCACUGUCCUCGCCCAGUCUCCUCGAUUUCACACACUUCUUCGUAGACUCUCCAUAUAUUUGAAUCCCGGACAGAUAUGGGACAUAAUACUGAACAACAGAAUCGCUGUCAUUCAAAAUUACCGGCACUCCUGCACCGUAAGCACUCCAUUCCUUAAAAGACUCCCACAAAUCCCCAAGUACAAAGUAUGGCUGAAAUUCCACAUCACAAGUCCUGCGGCCCCGCAUUGUGGUCUUAGAUAAGUACUGAGCAGGCACAGAUGGAGUUAUAGACUCCAAAAACCGCUCUAAAUUACUCAACGGAGAAACGACAGGUUCUAAGGCCGGAACUGAAACCGGUUUGGGAGAUUCCUCCAAAGCAGUCCGGUUCUCGGGUUCCCUGUUCGCCGGUUUUUCCACUUUUUCCUUGACCGAAGGCGAUUGAGUCGCGGUAACAUCGCUCUGCGCUCUGCGCAGUUGAUCAUUAUGUUGAUUCUGGUUUACCCUCCAAGCCUUCGCCGAGUGGUAAAACCGAUUCUCCCCACGACCUCUCGUAGUAAACUGCAAUCCAGCCCCCAACAUUUCUACACCUAAAUCCCCCAAAUUAUUAAAAAGGAAAAAGCAAGGGGUGGGGGGGCACCUAAAUCCUAAAAUUAAAUUCUUCUACUCCGGUUCAAUCCUCUGAAAGUCAAGAUUCAAAGUCAACGAAAUGAAAUGCAAGUGAUUAGUGGAUUGACAAUUCACGACGGAAACUAACUAUUACGAAACGAUAAUGAACGAUUUCUGUUCAGUGUAUAAGGAAACGAUCGGUUGGUGAAAUAGAGAAUCGGAUCAGAGAAGACGAUUGCAGAGGAUUGUGAUAUUAAAACCCUUAAUAGAGACGAUGGAUCUAGUGCGGAAAGAAAGAAGGUGCAAAAUAGUAAAUAAGAAGACAGAUAGAGAGAUUUAUGAAGACAAACAAAGCGAUGCCAGGAGAGAAGGAAAAACACAGCAGGGCUGUGUAUAAAAAUG
Molecule: unclassified non-coding RNA, 1284 nt
Filed under: Hevea brasiliensis (rubber tree)
Lineage: Eukaryota; Viridiplantae; Streptophyta; Magnoliopsida; Malpighiales; Euphorbiaceae
Source: RNAcentral